RNAcentral lists this ribosomal RNA (253 nucleotides) under uncultured bacterium. RNAcentral's name for it is "partial 16S ribosomal RNA". It matches the Rfam family "Bacterial small subunit ribosomal RNA", at positions 524 to 776 of the family's 1533-position model. The record is from RNAcentral.
UACGUAGGGUGCGAGCGUUAAUCGGAAUUACUGGGCGUAAAGCGUGCGCAGGCGGUUUUGUAAGCCAGAUGUGAAAUCCCCGGGCUUAACCUGGGAAUGGCAUUUGGGACUGCAAGGCUGGAGUGUGGCAGAGGAGACUGGAAUUCCUGGUGUAGCAGUGAAAUGCGUAGAUAUCAAGAGGAACACCAGUGGCGAAGGCGAGUCCCUGGACAACACCUGACACUGAGGCACGAAAGCUAGGGGAGCAAACAGG